RNAcentral lists this non-coding RNA (511 nucleotides) under Pongo abelii (Sumatran orangutan). Lineage: Eukaryota; Metazoa; Chordata; Mammalia; Primates; Hominidae. The record is from RNAcentral.
AUGACGAGACGGAAGCCCAGAGGCUUUCAAUUGCUUGCCCAAAGUCACAGAGCCGGGAAGUGCAGAGCCAGGCCACUGCCUGGUUUUAAAUUCUGGGUGGAAAUGCAAUGUGCUGGUCAACAUGGUGUGCUGAUGUUUCUCCCUGCUGGGGCCAAUUCCACCACUCCCUGGAAAGUGAUGUGAUGACCCUGGGCUUGAGUCCAAAGAACACAGGAGAGUUUUGGCAGGUCGAUGGUGUGUUGGUGCCAACCCACUUAAAGCGAAAACACUGGGACCUAUAUUCAGAGACUUAACCGGACACCUGGACAGACCAUUACAACUUGGGACUUUUCAGGAGAAUGAGGGAAAUAUAGUUAUUGCACCUGAGCCUCACUCCAGCUCUGAGGUCCUCUUCACUUCUCUUUCGAAGAAGAUUUGAUAUCUUUUCCAAGUUGAAAGAGUAGAGAUCUAAUUUCUCCAAGGGUCAUUGCUUUUUGACACGGGAUUAUUAGAAGCAUUCAUUCAUCUAUCA